Molecule: ribosomal RNA, 503 nt
Filed under: uncultured bacterium
Lineage: Bacteria
Description: bacterial SSU rRNA
Rfam family: Bacterial small subunit ribosomal RNA
Source: RNAcentral
AUUGAACGCUGGCGGCAUGCCUUACACAUGCAAGUCGAACGGCAGCGCGGGAGCAAUCCUGGCGGCGAGUGGCGAACGGGUGAGUAAUACAUCGGAACGUGCCCAAUCGUGGGGGAUAACGCAGCGAAAGCUGUGCUAAUACCGCAUACGAUCUACGGAUGAAAGCAGGGGAUCGCAAGACCUUGCGCGAAUGGAGCGGCCGAUGGCAGAUUAGGUAGUUGGUGGGGUAAAGGCUCACCAAGCCAACGAUCUGUAGCUGGUCUGAGAGGACGACCAGCCACACUGGGACUGAGACACGGCCCAGACUCCUACGGGAGGCAGCAGUGGGGAAUUUUGGACAAUGGGCGCAAGCCUGAUCCAGCCAUGCCGCGUGCAGGAUGAAGGCCUUCGGGUUGUAAACUGCUUUUGUACGGAACGAAAAGUCUCUUUCUAAUAAAGAGGGAUCAUGACGGUACCGUAAGAAUAAGCACCGGCUAACUACGUGCCAGCAGCCGCCGUAACAC